This 230-nucleotide long non-coding RNA is filed under the name Bos taurus (domestic cattle). RNAcentral describes it as "long non-coding RNA NONBTAT022693". The record is from RNAcentral. Lineage: Eukaryota; Metazoa; Chordata; Mammalia; Artiodactyla; Bovidae.
ACAUUUACAAAGAAUGUGCAAAAGACAAUUUAAAGAAUUAAAUCUUAGUAGUCUAAGUAACUGCUAACUAAAGAAAACUGAUGAAUGAAAAACAGUUCACUUUCUGUCCCUCACCCUCUACCACUCCAUCAGAAAACUAAAUCAAACUGUGAUACCUACAAGGCAAUCAGCACUGUAAGUCACAUGGUACAGUGGAUCUAAUGGAUAUUGUUUUAGAUUCAAGAUUAAUU